This 223-nucleotide long non-coding RNA is filed under the name Elaeis guineensis (African oil palm). RNAcentral describes it as "long non-coding RNA (EGUI_LNC040035)". Lineage: Eukaryota; Viridiplantae; Streptophyta; Magnoliopsida; Arecales; Arecaceae. The record is from RNAcentral.
UACAUAUCAUGACAUACAUAAUGGAUCCCACUGUCAAAGCAUAUAGAAUUUUACUCAUACGCACUCUCUUUUGAGUUGUCAGAUAAUCUCUCUUUGAAAGAGAAAUUCUAUGACUUAUCGAAAGAUAGCCUUUCUUGAAAUUCUCUAUGUGAACCGUUUUAGCACAUAUCAAUGUAUGUGGACUGGGAUAACUAAAGCAACUUCUUAGAUCUAUCUCUAUAGA